ACUGAGGAGUGGGUCAGGCCUGGCUCCCCUGUGCUGCCUAAUGCCAGGUAACACAUAUCAAGCUCCCACGUGUUUCUGCUGGAACCCCUGAUACUCAGGUCAUCAGAACAAUAUUUUAACCUGGUGACUUCCGGUCAAUCAGGCAAGAACCCUAUUGUCCAGACUACUUGCAAUCAACAUGAGCUCUUGCUAAUAACAGCUCCUCACGUGGAAGAGUAACCAUUCCUAUAAAUUAAUGACAAACCAGUGGCAAAGCGGAAUAAAGAGAAAAGCAAAAGAAGCGAGGGGAUGUUAUUUCCAAAAUUACAGGCUGCUCUUGGAAAGGAUCCCAAGCCCUUAUGGAAUCAGAAUUGAGCUCCGCACCACCAGGGGGCGCGACAGGCCCGCUUGCCCCGGAUCCGCCCCGGGAGACGCCGCUCUAGGCCGCGGCCCGCGCUCCCGCUGCAUUUACGCCGGCGCUGGGCGGGUGAGGCGUGUCCUGUUGCUGCUCCUGCUGCAGCCGCCCGGGCCUAUCUCCCGCAAUCCCCAGACAUCCGCAUCUUCCCGCGCUGUCGGCUCUGUCAGCGCCGCUGUCCUGCGUCGUAGUCGAGGAGCCCGGGGCCGUGCGAGCUCUGCGACUGUCUUGGAAGCAGAUGGAGACUGUCCCUUGGACGGCUUUGCGGGCCGAGCCGCAGGCAGCACGCACCCCUUUCUGCCCCGCAGGACCGUGGUCCGCAGCGCCAGAUGCCCCCCCACCCCCGUGUGCAGGGCUGAGGCCUGCUGGGAGUGUGUCGUGACUGCUGUUCCAUGUAUGUGAGAGGUGACGUCAGGAAAACCUGUAUCAGGAGGUCCCAGGUGGAUCUGCACGUGCAGAGGCUCCGUGAGAGGUGUCGUCUUACCAGCUGGGGGCUAGGCCCUGGGGCCCGAGCCGGCUGACUGGUGCCUUUCGUGCUGUGCUCUGCCAAUGUGUUCCGGGAGCAGAAGCCCCGCUGUGGUGCCUUCACUCUCUAGACAGAGAGAGAUACAGCCUGGUGCCCUGAGAGAUGACAGCCACGUGCCCCUGAGAGAUACAGCCUGGUGCCCUGAGAGGUCAGCCUUAGAUCUGGAACUGUUGAAGGAAGUCCCAAGGCUGUGAGUCCCUGACCUUUGGGAUGACUUGGCAUCUGGGUUUGCUGAUAUGUCUCCCCAAGUCUCACCUGUCUUUUGGUUUUUUAGAUUCUCUUGGUGUUAGUGGACAGCAGAGGAGCAGAGGAUGGAGAGGGAGUCCCCGUGGGAAGUGUCAUCUCCUGCUGUGACUCAGGGCAUCAUGGAUCAGCUCUUCACACAGGAGAUCAGAGGGAAGGAGCUGGGGCUGGGCUCCAUGUCAGCUGGCUCUGAGUCUUGACAGCAGUGCCCCGAGAAGCCAUGGACAGGGAAGGCCAGCCCCGUGUCCCUCUGCUAUGCCUGGAAUGACCUUAGUGACCAAGACUGUUUCUCUAGAAUUGCAGCUGGGCAUCACUUUACUCUCUGCAUCCCCCCCGCCCCCCAUCCAGUAAACCUUAUAGAUCCCUGUGUCUGCCUUCUAAGUCUGUAACAUGCCGUGUGCCACCGAGGCUGGAUGUGGAGAAGUGGAUCACAGGCCAGUGUUGUUUCCCCGCUGGGCCUCUCCGGUCAUGCUCCUGGGGCUUGGCACACAGGCUGCAGUCCGAGGUGUUGCGUUAGGACUGGGAUAGUAGCCGGCCCAGAUUCAGGCCCACGAAAGAGUGAAGGUCGAGGAACAGUCAGGCCAGGGCUUCAGAAGAGUGGCUGGUAGGGGCUCCUGGGUGGCACAGCGGUUAAGCGUCUGCCUUCGGCUCAGGGCGUGAUCCCGGCGUUAUGGGAAUCGAGCCCCACAUCAGGCUCCUCUGCUGGGAGCCUGCUUCUUCCUCUCCCACUCCCCCUGCUUGUGUUCCCUCUCUCGCUGGCUGUCUAUCUCUGUCAAAUAAAUAAAUAAAAUCUUUAAAAAAUAAAAAAAAUAAAAAAAAAAGAAGAGUGGCUGGUGACUGGGCUGGAGUGAGGCAGGCACUGAUGUCAUUGAGGAAGCUGGGGAGGCCUGAGCUCUGGGGCCUGGCUCGUGAGUAAAUGCCUGCUUGUGUGGCCAGCUGUCCUAGUUUGCCUGGGAUUGAGGGAUUUCCCAGGACAUGGGACUUUCAUUGUUAAAUCCAGAAAGGUCCUGGGCAAACUGGGAUGAGUUGGUCAGCUUACUUGGGAGUAAAAUACGUGAUGUCGGCUUGAGAAGACAGGUUACUGCGUUACGGUGGGAGGGAGCAGGGUGAACGUGGGGCAGCUGCCAUGGGUGGACCUCGUGGGUAUCCUCAGGGUCAGGCUUUUGGAGAUACUGUGGUAAAUCAGUAAUUGCAAUAAUGUGAUGAUGGUCUGAGGAUGUGCAUAUGGGAACUUUUUAAUUCCCAUGUUGUAAAUGGACAGGUCUCCAUGAGGAAAUAGAUCCCAAAGGCCAUGAUGAAAGGCUAGAGUUAAUUGUCCAAUUUCUGCAUUUGAAAUUGAACUUGCCUUGAUGAGUUGGACACCUUGAUGGGCUCUUCUGCGGGGGCAGGCGUUCCUUGUGGCUGAAGUAUUCACUCUGCCAGCCAGUUCCUGACAUCCAGAAGUCAAAAGUUGUCUUUUUUGACUUUCCUGUGGACUGUCUUGACUAUUUUUUUUCUAGUAGUCUUUACUCACCUGGUUGUAGCUUCCUGGAAAGAUGCCAAGGGAAGGAUCUGGGUCCACGUGAGAAAACUGUGCCUGGUUGGUAAUGCUUGCUGCCGUGGAGGGGCAGCAGCAGAACACGGGCCAGUACUUAAAAAGUGUGCAUGGAGACACUUGGCGCAUCCCACCGGGCACCAGGUCGUGCCCGCCUCGCACUGCAGCAUGGGAAGCAGGAGCCAUGCCAGAUCUUGAGGGCCUGAGGAAAUCUGAGGCGAGCAUUUCAACCAACGUGACCCAGGAACCAGGCUUAACGGCAGGGAGCUAUGAUCCUUGCUGGGAAUGUGCAAGCUUCCUGGAGGGCCUGGUGGCGCAGGGAGUGGAGAUUUCCAUAGCAGAACUGAGAGCUACGUGCAUGGGGAGCUGGUCAGAGGAAGGUCCAUCCAUUACAAAGAAAAGCAUUUAUUUAUGCUGUUACGAGCCAGACGCCAUGCUGAAAGCCUGUGGAACGUGCAUUUGUGGUAGGCAGUGCCGGAGGUAUUGGGGAUACUGCUCCAGACAAAACACGGGAGGCCUCAGAGCUUCCUCAGAACUGUAGUCCGUGAUGGUAAGCCAUUAGCCGUGUGUGGCUGUUUAAAUUGAUUUAAAAAUGUAAGGUUCACAUUACCACUUGCACCAGCCAUAAUGCAAGCGCUUGUAGCCGCAAGGGGCUGCCGUGUUGGGUAGUGCACGUAACAGACCUGUCACUGCAAGAAGUGUGUGUGGGAAAACCCACGGGCCCAAAGUGGUGUCAGCCAAGUCCCCAAACCCGGGCUUAAUACCUAAUGUAAUUGGAGUUUCACCCUCCCCCAGAAAUGGAGUCUUACCUGGUCCAUCAGAAGUUCUCUGAUGGUGCCUGGGAGUCUACCACAGGGACCCCCUCCAUCCCCACAGGAAGAUGAAGUAAUUUGCAUGUUUGGACCCAGUCCUGUUCCCCCUAAGGGAAAGCCUUAUCUGGAACAGUUCUUUUCUUUUGCAAAUAAGUUUCUUGCCCUACCUCCCUUCUGUAAAAACCUUUCAUUUUGUUCAAUCCCCUGGAGCUCCCCUCUGCCUGUUAGAUGGGUUGCUGCCUGACUCGUGAAUUGUUUAAUAAAGCCAACUCGAUCUUCCGAA
RNA transcript from Ailuropoda melanoleuca (giant panda), 3792 nucleotides. RefSeq lists it as uncharacterized. The transcript is spliced from 8 exons. NCBI's taxonomy places the organism in Eukaryota, Metazoa, Chordata, Mammalia, Carnivora, Ursidae. The record is from RefSeq and is a predicted model, not a curated record.